AACUGAUACUACCUGCGGGAACCUGCGGAGGGAUCAUUACUGAAGUGAUUUGGGGAUGUUGCUGGCCCUCUCUCAAGGGGGGGCACUGUGCACUCCUCGAAACAAUUCACAAUUUCCAUCACACCCCUUGUGCACACCUUGUAGGCACCCAAACCCACCUCCGGGUGGUGGGGUCCUAUGUAUUCCUUCAUCUCACACUCUGUUGAAUGGUGCCAUGGGACGCAUCUAAAGGAUUAUUCG
Molecule: unclassified non-coding RNA, 240 nt
Filed under: soil metagenome
Description: partial contains 5.8S ribosomal RNA, internal transcribed spacer 2, and large subunit ribosomal RNA
Source: RNAcentral